This is a long non-coding RNA of Papaver somniferum (opium poppy), 2147 nucleotides long. RefSeq lists it as uncharacterized. The transcript has 5 exons. NCBI's taxonomy places the organism in Eukaryota, Viridiplantae, Streptophyta, Magnoliopsida, Ranunculales, Papaveraceae. The record is from RefSeq and is a predicted model, not a curated record.
AAAUUCUUAUCGAGUUCUCCUCUCAUUUUUUCUUCUCUUCUAACCCUAAACCUUGAUUUCCGAAAUCAAACCAAAGCUUUCAGAAAUUCAAACCCAUUUCUCCUAAACGCUAGUCUCAUAAAUCAAAACCCAUAUUUCGGAAAUCAAAUCCAAUCUUUCAAUUACCCAAACCCUAGAAAUCGAUUCUGUAAGACGUGCUUGGUUCCAACCUGAACUUUCCUUCUCUAGUGAUGAACUAAUAGAUCGUGUAGGAUUCCAAAUGAGCAUCCUAGCAGAAUACAUGAGAGAGCUGAUCCAAUUGAUGAGGAGUCGAGUGCUGGGACUAAGGAUUACGUUCACCUAUGAAUUGACAUUUAUUAAAGGCUUGAAAAGAACUCUAGUUACAACAAGAUUAUCAGAGACCCCAAGAAGAAAUCCUGCGAUGCUAGUAUUGCUCUCCAGGUCUCAAAGUUAGGCCAGGUCAUUCACUUUCCUAGUUCAGACUUCUUCCACCAACAUAUUUGUGGUAUGGCCGAAGAAUAUGCUUAAAAUGAUAUGUUCUAGGAUAUAAUGAAGUUCUAUUUUUCGGUGGCUAGUGGGGAUUUCCUUCAUUUGGAUUUAAUCUCUUGUGAUUCAGUGGCACAGUACAAAUAUAUACUGGUGGUGAGUGACGCACAACUGAAUGGAACACAAAUAUAUACCCUGUAGUCUUAAUUAUAUAUCAAGUGUGCAUGUUUUUUUCCCGUCACAUGCUUGUUACUGUCGUAUCUGGAGUACGGCAUAGGAAGGCCUCUUGUUCCUCUGUAGACAUCAUACAUUUUGGAGGUUGAGGUAAAAUACUUUCUAAAGUUUUACUUGUUAUCAUUUCUUCCAACUCGUUAUUACCAUGAUACUUUUGGGAGGGAUCAGCUUUUAGAAAUUGGGUGUCAUAACUAGAUCAAUCACUUUGUUUAUUAGUUUAUAUAUACUAUUGCCAUGACUGGACAAUUAUUAUGUUUUUACUAUCCAUACCUAAUGGUUUUCAUGGACUAUAGGGACUAAAUGAAACAAAAAGUCAAACGUGGAGAUGAGGAAUAUCCUCAUUUCUUUUUGGUGCAGGAAACUUUGGUAUGUUUGUCCGUUAAUAAUCAUUUGGAACUUACCAAGCAAACAGCAUAUUACGUUUAUCCCUUAAUGAAACAAUCCCACCACCAUUCUCCAAGAUCAACACCAUGGUUAGAUAACGUAACUUACACUCAUUUAAUAUCCAUUUUCAUUUAUAAAAGAAGUGAUAUAAUUUAUUUCACUGUAAGAGUCGUGGUCUUACAGUGAAGUGUGACGUGCAUGAUGAAAAUAAGCGAUUCCAGUGGGUUGGGUUUGUAGUUAAGGAGUAUGUUGAUGAUAACCUGACUCUGGUCCUGGGUUGUUCUUGGAUUGUGUUUUUUCCUUGCUGUAAUUUGUAUGUGAAGGGACAAAAAUAAAUAAAUUAACAUUGGAAAUUACUCUUUUGAAUCGUCUCGAACCUGUAUCUAUAAUCCUCUCGAAACUAUUAUAGAUUUUCCUUUUGAUUUUGACUGUCUAUGUGUUUGAAGGUGACGAUUUUUCAAGAGUGCAAGCUAAAAAAUGGAAGCUCUUUGCUGAACCUUUUUCGGAAGCGAAGGAUCAGCUCAGGGAUUGUAGUUUUCAAAAGCGCAAGCUAAUUUUAGAGGAUUUCAGUCUUCAGGUCUCGAUGGGAUAUUUUGGAAAUUCACUCAAGAAUAAUGAACUUGAUGUGUGGAAUUAAUUUAAAGAAGAUAUUGCAGAGAAGAUGGGCAGAGCAUCUGGAAUGGAGCUAAAGAAUGCUGAAUACAUGUUCUUGAAGUCGAGCAAAGGUGAUAUGUUAGGGGAGAGCAUUAUAUAUUGAACUUCACCACCAGACAACCAACGUCCGCCAAGUAAUUACUCUGUUGAGUUCUUUUUGAUUUUAUCCUCUGAACCAUAAAUUAAAUUAGUGUCAAGUCUUAGUUCUGUCGAUAAACUGUUGAAAUUUUAUAUCAACUCCAAGUAGCAUUGUCCUGUACAUGCUUCAGACCUUGUUAUGAAUAUUGUAAUUAACAUGCAGGUUUAAGUAUCUAUAUAUCUAGAAUGUUCAGAGAGGGUUCUGUAAUACAGGAUUUUGAAAUAUACAAAUAUUGUAAUUUUUUUUUUAA